GAAUAAAAAAACCUCCGAAUGACACAGACAUAGACCUAACAAGUCAAAGUACUAAAAUCAUACAUUGACCCAAUUUAUUGAUCAACGGAACA
Molecule: ribosomal RNA, 92 nt
Filed under: Dendrohyrax arboreus (Southern tree hyrax)
Lineage: Eukaryota; Metazoa; Chordata; Mammalia; Hyracoidea; Procaviidae
Description: partial large subunit ribosomal RNA
Source: RNAcentral